UACGUAGGUGGCAAGCGUUGUCCGGAAUCACUGGGCGUAAAGCGCGCGCAGGCGGCGAUCUACGUCUGGGGUGAAAGCCCGGAGCUCAACUCCGGGACUGCCUUGGAUACGGGAUCGCUUGAGGAUUGGAGAGGCAAGGGGAAUUCCACGUGUAGCGGUGAAAUGCGUAGAUAUGUGGAGGAACACCGAUGGCGAAGGCAGCCCCCUGGGUUAACACUGACGCUCAUGCACGAAAGCGUGGGGAGCAAACAGG
This 253-nucleotide ribosomal RNA is filed under the name uncultured bacterium. RNAcentral describes it as "partial 16S ribosomal RNA". It matches the Rfam family "Bacterial small subunit ribosomal RNA", at positions 524 to 776 of the family's 1533-position model. The record is from RNAcentral.